This 726-nucleotide ribosomal RNA is filed under the name Stenometapodus v-luteum. RNAcentral describes it as "SSU rRNA". It matches the Rfam family "Eukaryotic small subunit ribosomal RNA", at positions 44 to 756 of the family's 1831-position model. Lineage: Eukaryota; Metazoa; Arthropoda; Insecta; Hemiptera; Coreidae. The record is from RNAcentral.
UUAAGCCAUGCAAGUCUCAGUACGAACUGACUUAAAGUGAAACCGCAAAAGGCUCAGUAAACCGGUCAUAGUUUACCGGAUAUAUGCCACUCACGUGGAUAACUGUGGUAAUUCUAGAGCUAAUACAUGCAAACAAGUCCCGACCAGCGAUGGGGAGGACGCUUUUAUUGGAUCAAAACCUUUCGCCCGGCCUGCCCGGGCGUCAGCUUGAUGACUCUAGAUAACACCACAGAUCGCACGGUCACAGUACCGGUGACAUAUCCUUCAAAUGUCUGACUUAUCAGCUGUCGAUGGUAGACUCUGUGUCUACCAUGGCGCUCACGGGUGACGGGGAAUCAGGGUUCGAUUCCGGAGAGGGAGCCUGAGAAACGGCUACCACAUCCAAGGAAGGCAGCAGGCACGCAAAUUACCCACUCCCGGCACGGGGAGGUAGUGACAAAAAAUAACGAUACGGGACUCAUCCGAGGCCCCGUAAUCGGAAUGAGAACACCCUAAAUCCUUUAACGAGGAUCUAUUGGAGGGCAAGUCUGGUGCCAGCAGCCGCGGUAAUUCCAGCUCCAAUAGCGUAUAUUAAAGUUGUUGCGGUUAAAAAGCUCGUAGUUGGUUCUGCGUGCCACGCUGUCGGUUCACCGCCUGCCGGUGCAACUGGCAUGCCGUGGCAUGUCCUGUCGGUGGCGGAUAGGCUUCGCGGCGCGCCCUAUGCGGUAUACCAGCGUGUAGGUUGCU